GUGGCUUCUUCUGUAUAUCGUUAGUUAUAGGACUUUUGUUCAGUUACAUUUCAGGCAGUUCUGAAUGAUGGUUGUUUUGGUAGUUUAGUUGUAAUCUUUAUGUGGUUUUGGGAGGAUGCAAGUUCCACAUUUACCUACACCACUAUCUUGACUGGAAGUCACUGUUUUUUAAAAUAUC
Long non-coding RNA from Pipistrellus kuhlii (Kuhl's pipistrelle), 178 nucleotides. RefSeq lists it as uncharacterized. The transcript is spliced from 3 exons. The record is from RefSeq and is a predicted model, not a curated record. Lineage: Eukaryota; Metazoa; Chordata; Mammalia; Chiroptera; Vespertilionidae.